This is a non-coding RNA of Erythranthe guttata (spotted monkey flower), 250 nucleotides long. NCBI's taxonomy places the organism in Eukaryota, Viridiplantae, Streptophyta, Magnoliopsida, Lamiales, Phrymaceae. The record is from RefSeq and is a predicted model, not a curated record.
UGAUUGUUUACAUCAGCGGUGGUCAUCGGAAUUGGCUAGAACUUCAGCUCGCUCGUUGAAACGAAGGGAAGCAAAAUCUGCUGCCGCACCUGUUUUCGGAGCCGAAAUCGAAGGGUUUCGAAUGCGAAUUUCGAAUCGGUUCCUUCAGGAAACUCGUAGAGGACAUCGUAAACUAUAAGGCAGUUUUGAGUAUCUUCUUGCGGGACUGUUUUCGAUAUGUUGGGAUCAUAAUUUGGGCUCUGUGCCUUCA